AGGGCUUUAGCUUAGUUAAAGUGUCUGUUUUGCAUACAGGAGAUGUAGGUUAGUGUCCUGCAAGUCUGA
Molecule: transfer RNA, 69 nt
Filed under: Odontobutis haifengensis
Lineage: Eukaryota; Metazoa; Chordata; Actinopteri; Gobiiformes; Odontobutidae
Description: tRNA-Ala
Rfam family: tRNA
About the family: Transfer RNA (tRNA) molecules are approximately 80 nucleotides in length. Their secondary structure includes four short double-helical elements and three loops (D, anti-codon, and T loops).
Source: RNAcentral